GAUGAACGCUGGCGGUGUGCCUAAUACAUGCAAGUCGAGCGAACAGACGAGGAGCUUACUCCUCUGACGUUAGCGGCGGACGGGUGAGUAACACGUGGAUAACCUACCUAUAAGACUGGGAUAACUUCGGGAAACCGGAGCUAAUACCGGAUAACAUGUUGAACCGCAUGGUUCAACAGUGAAAGACGGUCUUGCUGUCACUUAUAGAUGGAUCCGCGUCGCAUUAGCUAGUUGGUAAGGUAACGGCUUACCAAGGCAACGAUGCGUAGCCGACCUGAGAGGGUGAUCGGCCACACUGGAACUGAGACGCGGUCCAGACUCCUACGGGAGGCAGCAGUAGGGAAUCUUCCGCAAUGGGCGAAAGCCUGACGGAGCAACGCCGCGUGAGUGAAGAAGGUCUUCGGAUCGUAAAACUCUGUUAUUAGGGAAGAACAAAUGUGUAAGUAACUAUGCACGUCUUGACGGUACCUAAUCAGAAAGCCACGGCUAACUACGUG
Molecule: ribosomal RNA, 497 nt
Filed under: uncultured bacterium
Lineage: Bacteria
Description: partial 16S ribosomal RNA
Rfam family: Bacterial small subunit ribosomal RNA
Source: RNAcentral